UCCGGCUUAUCACCGGCAGUCCCUCUAGAGUGCCCAACUAAAUGAUGGCAACUAAAGGCGAGGGUCGCGCUCGUUGCGGGACUUAACCCAACAUCUCACGACACGAGCUGACGACAGCCAUGCAGCACCUGUCUCUCUGUCCCCGAAGGGAAAACCGACUUUCGCCGGCGGUCAGAGGAUGUCAAGACCAGGAUAAGGUUCUUCGCGUUGCGUCGAAUUGAACCACAUGCUCCACUGCUUGUGCGGGUCCCCGUCAAUUUCUUUGAGUUUUAAUCUUGCGACCGUACUCCCCAGGCGGGAUGCUUAACGCGUUAGCUUCGUUACUGAACAGGUUAACAGUCCAACAACAAGCAUCCAUCGUUUACGGCGUGGACUAC
This 377-nucleotide unclassified non-coding RNA is filed under the name uncultured Pseudobdellovibrionaceae bacterium. RNAcentral describes it as "uncultured Bdellovibrionaceae bacterium contains 16S-23S intergenic spacer region". The record is from RNAcentral. Lineage: Bacteria; Pseudomonadati; Bdellovibrionota; Bdellovibrionia; Bdellovibrionales; Pseudobdellovibrionaceae.